AUGGAAGCUCCAGCAUGGCUCCCCCUCUUCCUGUUACUCUGGCUCCCAGGUACAACUGGAGAAAUUGUGAUGACACAGACUCCAGCCUCCCUGGCUCUGUCUCCAGGAGAAACAGCCACGCUCAGCUGCAGGGCCAGUCAGAGCAUUAGCAGCUACCUAGCUUGGUACCAGCAGAAACCUGGGCAGGCUCCCAGGCUCCUCAUCUAUAGUGCAUCUACCAGGACCACUGGAGUUCCGGCCCGGUUCACUGGCAGUGGGUCAGGAACAGACUUUACUCUCACAAUCAGCAGCCUGGAGCCUGAAGAUGUUGCAGUUUAUUAUGGUCAACAAGCUUACUCUGGGUUCCACUGUAACUCAGUCCCCAGCAAAAACCUUACCAGUCUCAUCUGCCUUCACUUUCUUCCUUCCCUGGGGGUAUAA
Molecule: non-coding RNA, 420 nt
Organism: Fukomys damarensis (Damara mole-rat)
Lineage: Eukaryota; Metazoa; Chordata; Mammalia; Rodentia; Bathyergidae
Source: the annotation of a RefSeq genome assembly